This 642-nucleotide ribosomal RNA is filed under the name Hymenogaster citrinus. RNAcentral describes it as "eukaryotic LSU rRNA". The stretch from base 263 to 416 matches the Rfam family "5.8S ribosomal RNA". The record is from RNAcentral. Lineage: Eukaryota; Fungi; Basidiomycota; Agaricomycetes; Agaricales; Hymenogastraceae.
CCUGCGGAAGGAUCAUUAUUGAAUGAACUUGGUGUGGUUGUUGCUGGCUCUCUUGUGGGGGCAUGUGCACACCCGCCAUCCUCAUCUCUCCACCUGUGCACCUCUUGUAGACCUGGAUGAAUUUUCCGAGGUAACUCGGUCGGGAGGAAUGCUGCGCUCUUUGCGUCGGCUUUCUUUGCACUUCCAAGCCUACGUUUUUUUCAUAUACCCGUAGUAUGUAACAGAAUGUAUCAUUGGGCCUAAGUGCCUAUAAACCUUAUACAACUUUCAGCAACGGAUCUCUUGGCUCUCGCAUCGAUGAAGAACGCAGCGAAAUGCGAUAAGUAAUGUGAAUUGCAGAAUUCAGUGAAUCAUCGAAUCUUUGAACGCACCUUGCGCUCCUUGGUAUUCCGAGGAGCAUGCCUGUUUGAGUGUCAUUUAAUUCUCAACCUUAUUAGCUUUUGUUGAUAAUGGCUUGGAUGUGGGGGUUUUCUUUUGCUGGCUUUCUUCGGAUGUCAGCUCCCCUUAAAUGUAUUAGCCGGUGCCCUGCGUGGACUAUCCGUUGGUGUGAUAAUUAUCUACGCCGUUGGAUGUCUGCAAAUAGGUUUUGCACUGCUUCUAACUGUCUGUUCAUUUGGACAAUACAUGACAAUUUGACCUCAA